Molecule: microRNA precursor, 98 nt
Filed under: Camelus bactrianus (Bactrian camel)
Lineage: Eukaryota; Metazoa; Chordata; Mammalia; Artiodactyla; Camelidae
Also listed under: 3 other names
Description: mir-544 microRNA precursor family
Rfam family: mir-544 microRNA precursor family
Source: Rfam by way of RNAcentral
AUUACCUGGGGAUCCUGUUAAAAUGCAGGUUCCGGUUCUGGAGGUCAGAGGUGAGACCCAAGAUGCUGCAUUUCUAACAAGCUCCCAGGUGAUGUGGA